AAGCAACACUCUGUGGUAGAUAACUAAUUGUCUGCCUCAAUUUAUGCUUGCUAUAGUAACCAUAGUCUAACCUAUUCCAGUGGUUUCUGUAGAUGUGACCAUUUGUUAUAUAGACUUGAACAAA
This 124-nucleotide small nucleolar RNA is filed under the name Salvator merianae (Argentine black and white tegu). RNAcentral's name for it is "Small nucleolar RNA SNORA28 (ENSSMRG00000002262.1)". It matches the Rfam family "Small nucleolar RNA SNORA28". Rfam says of the family: ACA28 is a member of the H/ACA class of snoRNA that guide the sites of modification of uridines to pseudouridines. Lineage: Eukaryota; Metazoa; Chordata; Lepidosauria; Squamata; Teiidae. The record is from Rfam by way of RNAcentral.